This 28-nucleotide small RNA is filed under the name Bombyx mori (domestic silkworm). Its description in RNAcentral is "piRNA piR-bmo-2176958". The record is from RNAcentral. Lineage: Eukaryota; Metazoa; Arthropoda; Insecta; Lepidoptera; Bombycidae.
UCAGAAAUAGUGCGAGACCGACCAUCGU